AUGAGGACAUCUAGCUUCCUCCUCAUCAUCAUUGUUGCGUUCCUCUAUGCUAUCGGCUCACCUGCCAUAGGCUGUGGGGAACGGAUGGGCAACCAAUUGUGGAACACAGCAAUAGAGAAUGGAUGGGAACCAAUCGGAAACAUCAACGACCAACACAUCCAGGAGCUCGGCCGUUGGGCGGUGUUGGAGUUCGGCAAGCACGUGAACUGCGUGCUCAAGUUCAACAAGGUGGUAAGUGGCAGGCAGCAACUUGUUUCUGGAAUGAACUACGAACUCAUCAUCGAGGCAUCAGACAUUGGCGGGAAAGAAGACAAGUACAAGGCAGAGGUGUACGAGCAGACGUGGACUCACAAACGCCAGCUCCUCUCAUUCGCCAAGGUGAACUAG
RNAcentral lists this ribosomal RNA (387 nucleotides) under Triticum aestivum (bread wheat). RNAcentral's name for it is "partial small subunit ribosomal RNA". The record is from RNAcentral. Lineage: Eukaryota; Viridiplantae; Streptophyta; Magnoliopsida; Poales; Poaceae.